CAAUAGCGUAUAUUAAAGUUGUUGCAGUUAAAAAGCUCGUAGUUGGAUUUCUGGGAGGGUGCCAAUGUCCGCCGUCGUGCGUGCGCAGCGGCGCCCUUCCAUCCUUCUGUUAACGCCUCUUGGCAUUCAUUUGCUGGUGGCGGGCUCAGAUAUUUUACCUUGAGAAAAUUAGAGUGUUUCAGGCAGGCUAGGCCGGAAUACAUUAGCAUGGAAUAAUGGAAUAGGACUACGGUCUCGUUGUUGGUUUGAGGGACUGCAGUAAUGAUUAAUAGGGAUAGUUGGGGGCAUUAGUAUUUAAUUGUCAGAGGUGGAAUUCUCGGAUUUGUUAAAGACUAACUUAUGCGAAAGCAUUUGCCAAGGAUGUUUUCAUUAA
This 373-nucleotide ribosomal RNA is filed under the name uncultured eukaryote. RNAcentral's name for it is "partial 18S ribosomal RNA". It matches the Rfam family "Eukaryotic small subunit ribosomal RNA", at positions 592 to 976 of the family's 1831-position model. The record is from RNAcentral.